AUAACUAAGUAAACAGAUUAAGAUAAGUCGUAUCAAUAUCCGUAUUAUAAAGUCGUGUCCCAUUAAUCGUUUUCUGAUGUAUGUGGUAUAACGUAGCGAUAGAUUUAAAUUGUUCAGAAAAAGUUCUUUCACCAUCGGUAGGUAGUUUGAUCUAUUUAUGUGUAAGUCGUGCUCGCUUAAUCGUUUUGUAAUGUGUGCAGUAUAACGACAUUAAAUAUUGUAGAUACCUACAGUGAAAGUGUAUUUGAUGACUUCCUCUUGUACAAUUUACUUCAUGAAGGUAAUACUUUGGCUGAAUCGUAGUUGAUGGAGGGCAGAAGAAAUUCGGAAUGCUAGAAAAGUACUGCAUGAAUAUUAUAACAAAACUAUAUAAUGACAUUAUAAGGCAAAUUUGACAUUCGGAAAUGACACACUUGUAGCAUCGUUGCAUUUUAUGAUUAAAUGGAAAUUACCAAACUUCAGAAAUAUG
Trichoplusia ni (cabbage looper) is the source of this 469-nucleotide long non-coding RNA. RefSeq lists it as uncharacterized. NCBI's taxonomy places the organism in Eukaryota, Metazoa, Arthropoda, Insecta, Lepidoptera, Noctuidae. The record is from RefSeq and is a predicted model, not a curated record. The transcript has 2 exons.